RNAcentral lists this long non-coding RNA (1880 nucleotides) under Homo sapiens (human). RNAcentral describes it as "HSALNT0402772". The record is from RNAcentral. Lineage: Eukaryota; Metazoa; Chordata; Mammalia; Primates; Hominidae.
CUUGCACCAGUGGCUUCCCCGAGGCUCUCAGGCCCCCGGCCUCAGACUGAAGACUGCACUGCGGGCUUUCCUGGUUUUGAGGCUUUUGGACUUGGACUGAGCCACUACUAGCUUCUCUCUUUCCCUACCUGGCAGACAGCCUGUUGUGGGACUGCCUUCUAACCGUGUGAACCAAUUCUCUCUGGGAGCUUAUAGCUUCAUUGCACUGUGUGUGGCAUUUGGGUCCUGUUUGACAGCAAUGACUGCCUUUCUGUUUAGUGUCUGUGUGCUAUGAAGAUUGCACACAGGGGUCCAGAUGCAUCCUGUUUUGAGAAUGUUAAUGGAUACACCAGCUGCUGCUUUGGAUUUCACCCAUUGGUGGUAGUGGACCCGCUGUUUGGAAUGCAGACAAUUUAAGUGAAGACAUAUCCAUAUAUGUGGCUCUGUUACAAUGGUGAAAUCUACAACCAUAAGAAGGUGCAGCACCAGUUUGAAUUUGAAUACCAGACCAAAGUGGAUGGUGAGAUAAUCCUUCAUCUUUAUGACAAAGGAGGAAUUGAGCAAACAAUUUGUACGUUGGUUGGUGUGUUUGCAUUUGUUUUACUGGAUUCUGCCAAUAAGAAAGUGUCCCUGGACAGAGAUACAUAAGGAGUCAGACCUUUGUUUAAAGCAGUGACAGAAGAUGGAUUUUUGGCUGUGCGUUCAGAAGCUAAAGUUCUGGAGGCCACAAGUCCAAAAUCAAGGUGUGGGCAGAAAUGCGCUCCCUCUGCAGACUCCUGGGGAGGAUGCUUGUUUCUUCCAGCUCUGCGACUGUGGUGCCUGCAGCCAUUGGAACCAGCUCUGCACGGCUCAGACCUGGGUGAUGAGGACACAGCUUUGCAGGUGGGCAGCCACAUCCCCAGGGGGAGACUGUGGGCCUGUGGCAGGGUAGGGGCAACCAGUGCAGGGGCUCCCCAUUGUUGCCCCUGAGCUCCUGGGGCUUGUGGAGAAAGACAGGUGGAUGCACACAUACUGCAGCUCCCUGGAUCUGAGCCUUGGUUUCCCUACCUGUGAAAUGGGCACCCAUGGCAGCUCAGAAGUGUCUGGGAGCAUCCCCUGUGGGGGAAGGUGUGGGGGGCUGCUGGGGCACAGUCAUGGGGAACCCCAGUCCCCCUCUCCAUGUGCUUCCCUCAAUGCUCCCUGAUGCCAGCAGUCCUGCCCCCGAACAGAAAGGGGCAUUCCUGUGAGUUCCUUGUGUGGGGGACUGGUCACAGAGACUCCCCAAGUGCAGGGCAGGGUGGAGGGAGGCUGAGGGGUGGUUGAAUGGACAGGAGAAGAGCUCUCUCCAGUCCCUUGGGUCUGGGUGGCCUGGGGAGCAUCCAUUUGGGCAGGCAGCUGGUGGGGCUGGUGGCUGAGCCACUGUGGCUCGGGGACCCCAGGCCAGGACAGAGUAGGGUGGGCAGGGAGAGCAGAGUGCGAGCAUAUGGGGCAGGACAGGUGUCUCCUGGACAGAAAGAGCCCUGGUCACUCAUGGCUGCAGCAUAGCCAUGGCGACAGGAAAGUGCUGCUGUACAUUGUGCUCCUGGGGCUGGCUCCCAAUGGACACCCAACAGCAUCUCCCCCAUUGUACUGUGGGAUGCUGGCAGUGGUGCUGGGCACUGGGGUAAGAGCCUUGGCAAGCCCUUCGCUCCCUGGGUGUGAGACUUUGGGCUCCUGGAUGCCUGGGUUUCUGUGUCCUAUUUUUCCCAUGGAAGAUGUUUGGGGUGCUCCCAGGAAAUGGGGAGGGCCCUGGGGGGUCAGGAUUGUAUUAUUAAAGCCAGAAAGUCUGGGGUUCCAUUUUUAGCACAAGGCAGGCAGCCCAUGAGCCCCAGCCCAGUGGCCAGCCUGUGUGGGAGGGGAGUGGGGGUCUGAAGGAGUGAGGC